Long non-coding RNA from Anthonomus grandis grandis, 580 nucleotides. RefSeq lists it as uncharacterized. NCBI's taxonomy places the organism in Eukaryota, Metazoa, Arthropoda, Insecta, Coleoptera, Curculionidae. The record is from RefSeq and is a predicted model, not a curated record. The transcript has 2 exons.
AACAUGAUAAAAAUGCUCUGAUCGCAUCUGUGGUAAGAUGCAAGGACUUAUCCGCCAAGGAACACCGGUUCGAGCGAUCCUUACGUAAAACUCCUACUGGACAAGCAACACAAAAUGAGAACCCCGGUGCUCCGCAAGACCUGCAACCCAGUCUAAGACGAGGACUUCAACUUCUAUAGGAUCAGAUUCAACCAAAUCCCUGGGAUCACGUUACACUUACUCAUUAUACUCAGGUUCGACCGUUACAGUCAAAACGACAUUAUCGGCGAGGUAUUUUGAGUUUUGAGUUGACGUCACUCAGAUCAAGACUCAGCAGAUGGCUUUGUCUAGGGAAAUUCAACCCAGAAGCCUUAAGCUAAGUCAAGGAAAUGCAAAUAAAUAAACUUGGCGAAGGCCAGCUCUGUUAUUCCAGCUGUUAACCGUGCAAUAGUCUAUAAUGCCUCUAAAAUAAGCUAUAAUGAAGAGUAAUAUGACAAAGACAAUAAAAAAUAAGUCUUACAUUGCAGAACUUUAAAAUAUGAUACAUAAAAAUACCAAUUUGUAUAUAAAGAAAAUAAAUUAUAAAUGAAUAAACUUCACA